Molecule: ribosomal RNA, 1488 nt
Filed under: uncultured Shewanella sp.
Lineage: Bacteria; Pseudomonadati; Pseudomonadota; Gammaproteobacteria; Alteromonadales; Shewanellaceae
Description: bacterial SSU rRNA
Rfam family: Bacterial small subunit ribosomal RNA
Source: RNAcentral
AGAGUUUGAUCCUGGCUCAGAACGAACGCUGGCGGCGUGCUUAACACAUGCAAGUCGAACGAGAAGCGAUCCUUCGGGAUGGUGGAGAGUGGCGAACGGGUGAGUAACGCGUGGGCAAUCUACCCUCGGGUGGGGGAUAACCCUUCGAAAGGAGGGCUAAUACCGCAUAUCCAAUAACGUCAUAAGGCGUUAUUGAAAAUCUUUCGAGAGCCUGAGGGGAGCUUACGUUCUAUCAGCUUGUUGGUGGGGUAAUGGCCUACCAAGGCGACGACGGAUAGCUGGUCUGAGAGGAUGAUCAGCCACACUGGCACUGAGACACGGGCCAGACUCCUACGGGAGGCAGCAGUGAGGAAUAUUGCGCAAUGGGCGAAAGCCUGACGCAGCAACGCCGCGUGGAGGAUGAAGGCUUUCGGGUUGUAAACUCCUUUCAGGAGGGACGAAGUAGGUUGGGUAACCAAUCGGACGGUACCUCCAGAGAAGCCACGGCUAACUCUGUGCCAGCAGCCGCGGUAAGACAGAGGUGGCGAGCGUUGUUCGGAUUUACUGGGCGUAAAGCGUACGCAGGCGGUCUGUUAAGCAAGCUGUGAAAGCCCCGGGCUCAACCUGGGAAUUGCAUUUUGAACUGGCAGACUAGAGUCUUGUAGAGGGGGGUAGAAUUUCAGGUGUAGCGGUGAAAUGCGUAGAGAUCUGAAGGAAUACCGGUGGCGAAGGCGGCCCCCUGGACAAAGACUGAGCUCAGGUACGAAAGCGUGGGGAGCAAACAGGAUUAGAUACCCUGGUAGUCCACGCCGUAAACGAUGUCUACUCGGAAUUUGGUAACUUAGUUACUGGGUUCCCAAGCUAACGCAUUAAGUAGACCGCCUGGGGAGUACGGCCGCAAGGUUAAAACUCAAAUGAAUUGACGGGGGCCCGCACAAGCGGUGGAGCAUGUGGUUUAAUUCGAUGCAACGCGAAGAACCUUACCUACUCUUGACAUCCACAGAAUUUACCAAGAUGGUUUAGUGCCUUCGGGAACUGUGAGACAGGUGCUGCAUGGCUGUCGUCAGCUCGUGUUGUGAAAUGUUGGGUUAAGUCCCGCAACGAGCGCAACCCUUAUCCUUAUUUGCCAGCACGUAAUGGUGGGAACUUUAGGGAGACUGCCGGUGAUAAACCGGAGGAAGGUGGGGACGACGUCAAGUCAUCAUGGCCCUUACGAGUAGGGCUACACACGUGCUACAAUGGUCGGUACAGAGGGUCGCAAAGCCGCGAGUCAAGCUAAUCCCACAAAGCCGGUCGUAGUCCGGAUCGGAGUCUGCAACUCGACUCCGUGAAGUCGGAAUCGCUAGUAAUCGUGAAUCAGAAUGUCACGGUGAAUACGUUCCCGGGCCUUGUACACACCGCCCGUCACACCGUGGGAGUGGGCUGCACCAGAAGUAGAUAGCUUAACCUUCGGGAGGGCGUUUACCACGGUGUGGUUCAUGACUGGGGUGAAGUCGUAACAAGGUAACC